AGCCGCGGUAAUACCGGCGGCUCGAGUGGUGGCCGAUAUUAUUGAGUCUAAAGGGUCCGUAGCCGGCUUUGCAAGUCUUUUGGGAAAUCCAGCGGCUUAACCGUUGGGCGGCCAGGAGAUACUACAUUGCUUGGGACUGGGAGAGGUAAGAGGUACUCAGGGGGUAGGAGUGAAAUCCUGUAAUCCUUUGGGGACCACCGGUGGCGAAGGCGUCUUACCAGAACAGGUCCGACGGUGAGGGACGAAAGCUAGGGGCACGAACCGGAUUAGAUACCCGGGUAGUCCUAGCCGUAAACGAUGCUCGCUAGGUGUCACAACAAUCGUGAAUUGUUGUGGUGCCGUAGGGAAGCCGUGAAGCGAGCCACUUGGGAAGUACGACCGCAAGGUUGAAACUUAAAGGAAUUGGCGGGGGAGCACCACAACGGGUGGAGCCUGCGGUUUAAUUGGACUCAACGCCGGACAGCUUACCGGGAUCGACAGUUGUAUGAAGGCCAGGCUGAAGACCUUGCCGGACUAGCUGAGAGGUGGUGCAUGGCC
Molecule: ribosomal RNA, 537 nt
Filed under: uncultured archaeon
Lineage: Archaea
Description: bacterial SSU rRNA
Rfam family: Archaeal small subunit ribosomal RNA
Source: RNAcentral